This is a non-coding RNA of Arachis ipaensis, 1980 nucleotides long. Lineage: Eukaryota; Viridiplantae; Streptophyta; Magnoliopsida; Fabales; Fabaceae. The record is from RefSeq and is a predicted model, not a curated record.
AUAUCUUUAAUCCAAGUCUAUUCCCCCACGAUGUAUGUCUUUGUGUUCAUAUAAUAUUAACACACCUUUUAAAAAUUGUUUUACAUGCAUCUUGAAUUUGUUCCAAUCCUCAGUCCAAAUUCCUUCUAAGUCAAUGUUGUAAUUCUCGUACAUAAAGACCGUUGUUUCCUUAUUCCCAUCAUUUCCCUCGAAAUAAAUCAAUUCUCGUAAAAAAAAUUCCAACAGCAAUGUCAGAAUUUUUAACAGAAUUUUUGUUACAAAUCAAUUGAUAUUGAUCUAUUGAUAUUGAUCCUAGUUGACGGAUCAUAAUUAAAUAAAAAUAUAAAAUUAAAAAAAUAAAAUUAAAAUUAAAAGUUAAAAUACAUGUCUUCACAAACAUGUUAAUAAAAAUCAAGUAUUAAUUCUUAAACAUAACUAAUGAUGCGAAAAGAGAUAGUAAAUUAGUCACUAAUACAAAAUACUUUCUCAAUUUAAAUGAACAAGACAGCAACAAAUUCAAAAUUUAGUCGUGAUAAUCAGUAAUAAAUUCAACUCGAAUGAUUUUCAACAACAAAAAAAUUUAACUAAAUAUAUCAUUCUUAAUCACAUGCCUAACAAGAAUCAAUCAUUCCAAUUACAUGAUAGUUACAACAUGCAAAUUGGAAUCCAAGAUAUGCAUAGAAGCACAUUCAUAAGCAAUUGGUGAAUGAAAAGUGUUUUGAAAUUGUGGUUAUAGCGGCUCCAUAACGUUUUGGCGUGGCAGGUUUUGACCUUGCCGCCAUAUGGUGGUCGCCGCAUUGGGGUUUUCACGGGAGCGCCAUGGCGGCCGCAAUUAUGGUGGCGCCAUGGCGGAACGCAAUUCAAAUGGCAGAAAUUGCGGGGUUUUUCAGAUUUUCCAAAAAUUCUAAGGGUGUUUCGGAUAAUUUAGAAAACCUAAGUGAUCCCACUAACCACUAGCCCUAAUAAUCAGCCUCUUAUUCAAAAACUCCCUCCUUUGCCUCAUCUUUAAAAACAACUUUUCUCGGUCUCUGUUCUCUGUGACGCUGCUCUAUACGCCACCCAUCGCCGCCACUCAUCGCGCCGCCACUCAUCGCUCAUUGCUCAUCACCACAACCACUCUUUGCUGCCACUGCUAACCACGGUUCCCUCUCUGGUUCGUACAUCUUGUUUCAACUUUCUCUAGUCCUACUUUCAACUUUCUCUAGUCCUACUUUUUUUUUUCUUUUUUCUCUUCCCUGCUGCAUCUUGUUUCAACUUUCUCUAGUCCUACUUUUUUUUUCUUUUUUCCCUGCUGCCCCUUCUUUAUCAAUAAUCAGUGUUAAAUUUUUCGCCAUUUUCCGCAACACCAUCCGCUAUAACUUUAUGGUGAAUUUUUGGCUCACCGCCAUGAGCCGCCAUACGCAAUAAAAAAACUAUUAUGAAACAAACAAGAACCAUGUUCAAUUAAAGUGCACAUAGCAUGUUCAAACACCAAAAAGCUUUCACAACCAAUACCACAAGGUUAAUGUCAAAAUAAAAUUUCACGCCUAAUAUAACCCAAAACAAAUUAAACAAAGUUAAUCAAAUAGGGUUACAUAGGAUCAAUUCCUUAAUCUUGUGUUAUUGGGCAAAAGACCUCAAACAUUCAAAAAGUGUAAAAAAAAAUUUGGUCAAUUAGCAUAGCACAUUCAUCUCAAGGAAUUGACCAAAAUUUUUAAUCAAAAGCUCGAGGUAAUUUGGCAAACACUAGACAUGCAUUCGUAUUAAACAUGUAAAAUCAAUGCACCAAGUAUCAAUUUAGAACUCAAUUCAAAAGAAUGCCAUUCAACCAAAAUUUCAACAACUUCUCACAAAACAAGCAUUCUUUGAAACUCAAUUCAUACAAGUUUUCAGAACUUUCUUAUUCUAAUUGUUGGUUUGAUUCUGAUUUAUUUUUAUUCUUUCUUCCUCCUCCUCAUUGUCUAUUCCAAUUUGUUCCUUGGUUGGGUUGUUCUUGAUUCUUUGGUUGAAUUGUUAAUUCUA